RNAcentral lists this ribosomal RNA (460 nucleotides) under Staphylococcus xylosus. RNAcentral's name for it is "bacterial SSU rRNA". It matches the Rfam family "Bacterial small subunit ribosomal RNA", at positions 1 to 451 of the family's 1533-position model. Lineage: Bacteria; Bacillati; Bacillota; Bacilli; Caryophanales; Staphylococcaceae. The record is from RNAcentral.
AGGGACCUUGUUUUAUCCUGGCUCAGGAUGAACGCUGGCGGCGUGCCUAAUACAUCCAAGUCGAGCGAACAGAUAAGGAGCUUGCUCCUUUGACGUUAGCGGCGGACGGGUGAGUAACACGUGGGUAACCUACCUAUAAGACUGGGAUAACUUCGGGAAACCGGAGCUAAUACCGGAUAACAUUUGGAACCGCAUGGUUCUAAAGUGAAAGAUGGUUUUGCUAUCACUUAUAGAUGGACCCGCGCCGUAUUAGCUAGUUGGUAAGGUAACGGCUUACCAAGGCAACGAUACGUAGCCGACCUGAGAGGGUGAUCGGCCACACUGGAACUGAGACACGGUCCAGACUCCUACGGGAGGCAGCAGUAGGGAAUCUUCCGCAAUGGGCGAAAGCCUGACGGAGCAACGCCGCGUGAGUGAUGAAGGGUUUCGGCUCGUAAAACUCUGUUAUUAGGGAAGAACA